Molecule: ribosomal RNA, 469 nt
Filed under: uncultured bacterium
Lineage: Bacteria
Description: SSU rRNA
Rfam family: Bacterial small subunit ribosomal RNA
Source: RNAcentral
AGGAUGAACGCUGGCGGCGUGCCUAACACAUGCAAGUCGAACGUCCUGUCUCGCAAGAGGCAGGGAGUGGCGGACGGGUGAGUACCACGUGGGUCAUCUACCGUGAGGUGAGGAAUACCGGCGAGAAAUCGCCGACAAGACCGCAUAGCCUCGGUGCAAGUCGAGGAAAGCUCUCUCGAGAGAGGGAGCGCCACACGAGGAGCCUGCGCCCGAUUAGCUAGCUGGUGGAGUAAUGGUUCACCAGGGCGACGAUCGGUAGCUGGUCUGAGAGGACGAUCAGCCACACUGGGAUUGAGAACGGCCCAGACUCCUACGGGGGCAGCAGUGAGGAAUUUUCGUCAAUGGGGCAACCCUGAACGAGCAACGCCGCGUGCAGGAAGAAGGUUUCGGAUCGUAAACUGCUUUUCUCGGGGAAGAGAACGGACGGUACCGAGGAAUCAGCCCGGCUAACUACGUGCCAGCACGCCGC